UACGAAGGGGACUAGCGUUGUUCGGAAUCACUGGGCGUAAAGCGCUCGUAGGCGGAUGUGUCAGUCAGGGGUGAAAUCCCGGGGCUCAACCUCGGAACUGCCUUUGAUACAGCACGUCUCGAGUCCGGAAGAGGUGGGUGGAAUUCCUAGUGUAGAGGUGAAAUUCGUAGAUAUUAGGAAGAACACCGGUGGCGAAGGCGGCCCACUGGUCCGGUACUGACGCUGAGGUGCGAAAGCGUGGGGAGCAAACAGG
Molecule: ribosomal RNA, 253 nt
Filed under: uncultured bacterium
Lineage: Bacteria
Description: partial 16S ribosomal RNA
Rfam family: Bacterial small subunit ribosomal RNA
Source: RNAcentral